UUUAGAGAUCACGUCUGCAUUUUUCAUCUUUUUGGACCACUGCCAUCAAGAGCAGCAAAGUCUAGGGACCCAAGGAAAAGUGUUAAACACGGUAAAAAUUUUUUAAAAAGAUAAAGUGUGCCAAAUAAAUAAAAGACAGGAAGAUCACAGAAAAAACGUUUAAAGAAAGCCACUUAUUUUGCUUUCAGACCACUCAGCACCAUUUGUCAUAAUAAUUGCAAACCAAAUCUGACCACCCUGGGAGAUGAGCUUUGCUAAACUGACAACAAAGUCUUUAAAAAUUAGAUACUUGACUUCCAUGUUUCAAUAUUUUUAAACUAAAACACAUGGUCUCUUGCAGCCAGCCCCGUGGCAUACUGGUUAAGUGUGCAUGCUCCACUUCAACGGCCCGGGGUUAGCAGGCUCAGAUCUCGGGCACAGACCUAGAACUGCUCAUCAAGCCACGACUGUGACGGCAUCUCACAUUAAAUAGAGGAAGAUUGGCACAGAUGUUAGCUCAGGGCCAAUCUUCCUCAAGCAUAAAGAGGAAGAUUGGCAACGAGUGUUAGCUCAGGGCCAAGCUUCUUCACCAAAAAACAAUAACAAAAAACAAAGAAAACACAUGGUGUCUUGAUUGAUCAUGAACGUGGUUUUGAUGUAAACAACCAUAUUGAGUCAGUAGAUUCGUAACUGCUUUAUCACUCAAUGAUAGGGAAGUUUACAACCAGGUGAAUAAACCACAGUAUUUAACAUUUAUUCAUUUUUAUAAUCCUCAGUAUCACUUUAAAACUUACUAAGAAAGGCAUAUACCUUUGGCUUCUGUUGCUGUGCGUAUGAUCAAGGUGUAACAAAAAAAUGCCAAGCGCAGAUUUCAAAGCAAUUGUGUAAGGUUAUACCCUUGGUCUUCAAAGACAGCAAUAGACCUAUAGUGUUAGUCUGUGACAGGUGUUGUUCUAAAUGCUGCAUCUACAUCACUUUAUUGCAUACUCUCAAUGACGUCAUUUUACAGAUGAAGAAACUGCGCCCCAGAAAAACGUAAAAAUCAUAUCCAAGGUCACCAACAUUGUGCAUCUAGUAAAAAUCUACACGGGAUUUGAAUCUAGAAAGUUUGGCUCCAACAUCAGGCCUUUAUGUGCUAUAAUCUACCGCCUCUCUGGCUCUCUCAAAUCUGUACCUUAGGUUUCUACAGCCAAGCUAAAAAGGAGUAAAACACCUAUAAACCAGGGGGCACUCCAGCGCUAUUCAUUUGGCUUAUUGACCACUCAUGAUACGGCCCUGCCGACUGCCCAUUAAAAUGUCUGUGCAGGCACAACAAAGUGUGAAAAUACAAAACAAAAUUUUAAAAAUUAAAUAUAUAGGCCAUUUAUUCCCGUGAUCUGUGAGAAAGUUUAUCAGCUGUAGAAAAUGGAGCUGAACACAUAUGGACUUUGUAUGACAGGACUGGUGUAGUGAAAUGAAGAGGGGGAAACAUAAUAUUCACAUGGAUGACGUGCUGUAGAUUCUUAAAUAUUUAGUCUGGGCUCUUUUUGUCUUUAGACAUUGUUAUCAUAGUGUCUAGUCCUCUCAUAUUUCAAGAGCC
Molecule: long non-coding RNA, 1558 nt
Organism: Equus caballus (horse)
Lineage: Eukaryota; Metazoa; Chordata; Mammalia; Perissodactyla; Equidae
Source: Ensembl